This 490-nucleotide ribosomal RNA is filed under the name uncultured bacterium. RNAcentral describes it as "partial 16S ribosomal RNA". It matches the Rfam family "Bacterial small subunit ribosomal RNA", at positions 28 to 507 of the family's 1533-position model. The record is from RNAcentral.
GAUGAACGCUAGCGAUAGGCUUAACACAUGCAAGUCGAGGGGCAGCAUGGUCUUAGCUUGCUAAGACUGAUGGCGACCGGCGCACGGGUGCGUAACGCGUAUGCAACUUGCCUCACAGAGGGGGAUAACCCGUCGAAAGACGGACUAAUACCGCGUACACUUGGGAUAGGGCAUCCUGACCCAAGGAAAUGAAAUUCGCUGUGAGAUAGGCAUGCGUCCCAUUAGCUAGUUGGUGAGGUAACGGCUCACCAAGGCGACGAUGGGUAGGGGAACUGAGAGGUUGAACCCCCACACUGGUACUGAGACACGGACCAGACACCUACGGGAGGCAGCAGUGAGGAAUAGUGGUCAAUGGGCGAGAGCCUGAACCAGCCAAGUCGCGUGAAGGAUGACUGUCUUAUGGAUUGUAAACUUCUUUUAUACGGGAAUAACAAGAGCCACGUGUGGCUCCCUGCAUGUACCGUAUGAAUAAGCAUCGGCUAACUCCGUG